UACGGAGGGUGCGAGCGUUAAUCGGAAUUACUGGGCGUAAAGGGUGCGUAGGUUGUUUAGGAAGUUAUCUGUGAAAUUCCUGGGCUUAACCUGGGGAGGUCAGAUAAGACUAUUAGACUAGAGUAUAGGAGAGGGUAGUGGAAUUUCCGGUGUAGCGGUGAAAUGCGUAGAGAUCGGAAGGAACACCAGUGGCGAAGGCGGCUACCUGGCCUAAUACUGACACUGAGGCACGAAAGCGUGGGGAGCAAACAGG
Molecule: ribosomal RNA, 253 nt
Filed under: uncultured bacterium
Lineage: Bacteria
Description: partial 16S ribosomal RNA
Rfam family: Bacterial small subunit ribosomal RNA
Source: RNAcentral